RNAcentral lists this ribosomal RNA (473 nucleotides) under uncultured bacterium. RNAcentral describes it as "bacterial SSU rRNA". It matches the Rfam family "Bacterial small subunit ribosomal RNA", at positions 40 to 507 of the family's 1533-position model. The record is from RNAcentral.
CGGCAUGCCUUACACAUGCAAGUCGAACGGCAGCACGGGAGCAAUCCUGGGUGGCGGAGUGGCGAACGGGUGAGUAAUAUAUCGGAACGUGCCCAGUCGUGGGGGAUAACGUAGCGAAAGCUACGCUAAUACCGCAUACGAUCUAUGGAUGAAAGCGGGGGAUCGCAAGACCUCGCGCGAUUGGAGCGGCCGAUAUCAGAUUAGGUAGUUGGUGAGGUAAAGGCUCACCAAGCCGACGAUCUGUAGCUGGUCUGAGAGGACGACCAGCCACACUGGGACUGAGACACGGCCCAGACUCCUACGGGAGGCAGCAGUGGGAAUUUUGGACAAUGGGCGCAAGCCUGAUCCAGCAAUGCCGCGUGCAGGAUGAAGGCCUUCGGGUUGUAAACUACUUUUGUACGGAACGAAACGGUGAGCUCUAAUACAGUUUGCUAAUGACGGUACCGUAAGAAUAAGCACCGGCUAACUACGUG